This 450-nucleotide ribosomal RNA is filed under the name uncultured bacterium. Its description in RNAcentral is "partial 16S ribosomal RNA". It matches the Rfam family "Bacterial small subunit ribosomal RNA", at positions 354 to 796 of the family's 1533-position model. The record is from RNAcentral.
GUGGGGAAUUUUGGACAAUGGGCGCAAGCCUGAUCCAGCAAUGCCGCGUGCAGGAAGAAGGCCUUCGGGUUGUAAACUGCUUUUGUACGGAACGAAAAGGCUCUGGUUAAUACCUGGGGCUCAUGACGGUACCGUAAGAAUAAGCACCGGCUAACUACGUGCCAGCAGCCGCGGUAAUACGUAGGGUGCAAGCGUUAAUCGGAAUUACAGGGCGUAAAGCGUGCGCAGGCGGUUUUGUAAGACAGACGUGAAAUCCCCGGGCUCAACCUGGGAAUGGCGUUUGUGACUGCAAAGCUGGAGUGCGGCAGAGGGGGAUGGAAUUCCGCGUGUAGCAGUGAAAUGCGUAGAUAUGCGGAGGAACACCGAUGGCGAAGGCAAUCCCCUGGGCCUGCACUGACGCUCAUGCACGAAAGCGUGGGGAGCAAACAGGAUUAGAAACCCCGGUAGUCC